RNAcentral lists this ribosomal RNA (194 nucleotides) under uncultured bacterium. Its description in RNAcentral is "partial 16S ribosomal RNA". It matches the Rfam family "Bacterial small subunit ribosomal RNA", at positions 338 to 524 of the family's 1533-position model. The record is from RNAcentral.
CCUACGGGAGGCAGCAGUGGGGAAUCUUGCGCAAUGCGCAAAAGCGUGACGCAGCAACGCCGCGUGGGGGAAGAAGGCCUUCGGGUUGUAAACCCCUUUCAGUUGGGACGAAGCUCACUCGGUGAAUAGCCGAGCGGAGUGACGGUACCUUCAGAAGAAGCCCCGGCUAACUACGUGCCAGCAGCCGCGGUAAU